AGUGAACGCUGGCGGUAGGCCUAACACAUGCAAGUCGAACGGCAGCACAGUAAGAGCUUGCUCUUACUGGUGGCGAGUGGCGGACGGGUGAGGAAUACAUCGGAAUCUACUUUUUCUUGGGGGAUAACGUAGGGAAACUUACGCUAAUACCGCAUACUACCUACGGGUGAAAGCAGGGGAUCUUCGGACCUUGCGCGAUUGAAUGAGCCGAUGUCGGAUUAGCUAGUUGGCGGGGUAAAGGCCCACCAAGGCAACGAUCCGUAGCUGGCCUGAGAGGAUGAUCAGCCACACUGGAACUGAGACACGGUCCAGACUCCUACGGGAGGCAGCAGUGGGGAAUAUUGGACAAUGGGCGAAAGCCUGAUCCAGCCAUACCGCGUGGGUGAAGAAGGCCUUCGGGUUGUAAAGCUCUUUUGUUGGGAAAGAAAAGAAGCAGGUUAAUCCCCCGCUGUUCUGACGGUACCCAAAGAAUAAGCAACGGCUAACUUCGUG
Molecule: ribosomal RNA, 492 nt
Filed under: uncultured bacterium
Lineage: Bacteria
Description: partial 16S ribosomal RNA
Rfam family: Bacterial small subunit ribosomal RNA
Source: RNAcentral